CCCUUCUACACUGGCCCAAACUCUUAUGAAAUCAGUAUUUAAAGCCCCAAUUUCAUGAGAAUUUGGUGCUCGUGCAGGCGGC
Molecule: microRNA precursor, 82 nt
Organism: Anolis carolinensis (green anole)
Lineage: Eukaryota; Metazoa; Chordata; Lepidosauria; Squamata; Anolidae
Source: Ensembl